RNAcentral lists this ribosomal RNA (230 nucleotides) under uncultured bacterium. Its description in RNAcentral is "partial 16S ribosomal RNA". It matches the Rfam family "Bacterial small subunit ribosomal RNA", at positions 15 to 244 of the family's 1533-position model. The record is from RNAcentral.
GAUCAUGGCUCAGGACGAACGCUGGCGGCGUGCUUCAUACAUGCAAGUCGAACGAGAAGCAAGAGCUUGCUCUUGUGGAAAGUGGCGGACGGGUGAGUAACAUGUAGGAAAUCUGCCCUUUAGCGGGGGACAACAGUUAGAAAUGGCUGCUAAUACCGCAUAAGCGCACGGUACUGCAUGGUACAGUGUGAAAAACUCCGGUGGUAUGAGAUGGACCCGCGUUGGAUUAG